RNAcentral lists this non-coding RNA (22 nucleotides) under Drosophila melanogaster (fruit fly). Lineage: Eukaryota; Metazoa; Arthropoda; Insecta; Diptera; Drosophilidae. The record is from RNAcentral.
AGAGCUAGAGCAGCGCGCGGUC